Molecule: ribosomal RNA, 325 nt
Filed under: uncultured bacterium
Lineage: Bacteria
Description: bacterial SSU rRNA
Rfam family: Bacterial small subunit ribosomal RNA
Source: RNAcentral
UGAAGUGGCAUCACUUUAUUAUUAAAGAUUUAUCACUCGAAGAUGGCUGUGCGGCUGAUUAGGUAGUUGGCGGAAGUAACGGCCCACAAGCCUGCGAUCAGUAACUGGUGUGAGAGCACGACCAGUCACACGGGCACUGCGACACGGGCCCGACUCCUACGGGAGGCAGCAGUAAGGAAUAUUGGUCAAUGGAGGCAACUCUGAACCAGCCAUGCCCGCGUGGAGGAUGAAGGUCCUCUGGAUUGUAAACUUCUUUAUAUGGGACGAAAAAGGCUUUCUAAGUCGUCUGACGGUACCAUAUGAAUAAGCACCGGCUAACUCCGUG